Molecule: ribosomal RNA, 319 nt
Filed under: Staphylococcus aureus
Lineage: Bacteria; Bacillati; Bacillota; Bacilli; Caryophanales; Staphylococcaceae
Description: bacterial SSU rRNA
Rfam family: Bacterial small subunit ribosomal RNA
Source: RNAcentral
UUUAUGGAGAGUUUGAUCCUGGCUCAGGAUGAACGCUGGCGGCGUGCCUAAUACAUGCAAGUCGAGCGAACGGACGAGAAGCUUGCUUCUCUGAUGUUAGCGGCGGACGGGUGAGUAACACGUGGAUAACCUACCUAUAAGACUGGGAUAACUUCGGGAAACCGGAGCUAAUACCGGAUAAUAUUUUGAACCGCAUGGUUCAAAAGUGAAAGACGGUCUUGCUGUCACUUAUAGAUGGAUCCGCGCUGCAUUAGCUAGUUGGUAAGGUAACGGCUUACCAAGGCAACGAUGCAUAGCCGACCUGAGAGGGUGAUCGGCC